Long non-coding RNA from Cavia porcellus (domestic guinea pig), 5843 nucleotides. RefSeq lists it as uncharacterized. The record is from RefSeq and is a predicted model, not a curated record. The transcript is spliced from 3 exons. NCBI's taxonomy places the organism in Eukaryota, Metazoa, Chordata, Mammalia, Rodentia, Caviidae.
UCCUUCCUUCCUUCCUUCCUUCCUUCCUUCCUUCCUUCCUUCCAUCCUUCUAUCCUUCCUUCCUUCCAUCCUUCCAUCCUUCCUUCUUUCCAUCCUUCCUUCCUUCCAUCCUUCCUUUUUUCCUUCCUUCCUUCCUUCCUUCCUUCCUUCCUUCCUUCCUUCCCCUGUCCUUCCCCUUCCUCCUCCUUUCUUCCCGUUUUCCUUCUUUCCUAUCUUUCUUUCUGCUUCCCUAAUUCCUUCCUUCCUUGCUUUCUUGUUUCCUUCCUUUUUCCUCCUUUCAUACCUCCCUACAUUCUUCCCUGCCUUCCUCCCUUCAUUCCUUCCAACACUUCAAUUUGAAAUAGUUUUAUCUUCAAAAAAAUGAAUCUUUCAGAGUGCAAAUAUGAGUUUCAUAUACAAAAUAAGGGAACUGACCAUCUUUGUAAAGUAUUAUUAAGUUGUGAAAAUGUUUCUAUAAAUGUAUAACAGAAACUUCCCUUUUCUCAUGUCCUCUUGUUAGGCAUUGCAGAGGGCAAGUCUCACGAGACAGAGACAUGGAAUGAAAAUCGGGUUAUCUAUAGCAGCCUUUUAUAGUGUGGUUACUUGGCAGUUUGCUAGAGUAGAAACUAAAAAUAUCUUUUAAAGAUGGCUUAGAAAAAAAAACACAAUUGGUUUAGUAAUGGAGACUCUGCACCCCUGAAUUUGUAUCCAAAGUAUUUCUGACAGUUCUGAUAGGGAAAGGGAAGGUGGACAUGGAAAGACUUGCCCUCUGGGUUCAGAGUGACAGCGGGACAUGGCAAGCUUCUUAGUGUUUCAACUUACAGCCAAAAGGAAAGCUGCAACUCAGAAGAAGCUACCAAGCAUUUAAAGGUUGACUUCCAUGAUGAUCUGUGCAGGAAGGACACCAGAUACAUCAAUGACAGCAGCGGUAUGAAUAACAACUGAGAUGCCCUGGCAGGCUCUCCUCAGGCUCUGAGUGUCCAGAAUGUCUCCUUCUACUAUUGUCACCUUUGUCUUCGUGUUCAGCUCUGUAGAAAAACAAUGCGGGUCAUUAUGAAGCUUUCUGGAUGGACAGAACAUGAAUCUGAGCAGUAAGCUCCAAGGAGUGUCAUGAACAAAAAGAAUUUUUAAUGACUUCUGGGAAGAUUCGUCAUACUCAUCAAGGAGAGUGGUGAAGUUGAAGAUAGUCGCAUAAAGAGGCCAAAUUAGCAUUUAAUUGUGUAGACAAUGAGGAAUCAUUUAGGGAUUUGGAACUACAGGAGGAACAGAGCCAGGGCUGUGAAAAGGGUACUCACAUUGGUACCACAAUGUCCAGUGACCUUUUGUGAGGAUACAAAAGAAAACAAGACUGCAGUGCACUAAUCAGAAUGUCUCUGCCAGAAUUCAUAAGAGGGCAAACCAGGUCCCAGCAGUAGGAAGAGAAGAAGGGAGAACCACAAGCCAUCAGUUUCAGGCUUUCCCAUAACAGGUCUGGGUACGUAACUUUGUCUUGGAUGUGCAGAAAACUGAUUAAGCUCAUCCCUAGUGUUUCCUACAUGUGUAACUAGGAGGAGGUAAGUGAGCCAUGCCAGAGAAUUCAGGAUUGGCUCUUCUGAUGGGCUUUAUUGAAAAUGUUUUAUAUAUCAAAUAUUAUCAAUAGCAGACAUCCAUGAAGUAAAUGAAUCAUCUACAAUUAAAUUCCAUCCCCUCUAUCUAGUCCAGCACAGUUGUUACAACAUACAAAUCUCCUUAUAUCCUGUAAGGUCAACAUGUGUGACACAAUGACACCUCCAGUGAUACGGCUAUCUCAAUUUAGUCCAGAAAAUCCAUCCUGUGCCACAUAUAGCCUCCAUCAAAGCUCUGCAUGUGUUUGUGUUUUAGAGUUUACAGACAAAUGUGUAGUCAGCUCACUUCCUUUCCUAUAGACCACAGCAGAGAGGAAUUCGGAAUCCAGUUUCCCCUGUGUAGGUGAGGAAACUGGAUCACCAAGUUACAGGGAAGAUCUGAGUAUGCAGUGCUGUGAGGGUUCAUACCACACCUGCUUCCUCAGCUUGCUGUCUUUGUUCUGCACUCCAAGGACAGGAGGAGAUGUUAGGAAUUAGAUUUUCUGAAGCUGGGUCAGGGUAAGUGAACUAAAUUGAGUAUGGUAAUCAGGGCUCAGGAUGAGGGAGAGAAACAAUCAGAGAAAAAACCACUAGAUUGAGAUGCCCUUACUGUGUUGGAAGAACCACCCCUAGAAUUCUGUUAUGUUUGUUUUCAUCCCUUGCCCUCGUCAGGUAACCCAAGGAGGCCCUCUAGUGUAGGAUGGUGAGGAAGGGCUGAUGUAGGGAGAUGAGUGUCUGCCUAAGCAUGGCAUCUUCCCUUGUAAUGUCUCUCAUCUGUUAUUACUAUCACUGCUACUUCCCCAGCACAAGAACCAAAAUUUAAUGCUGUUCGACAAAAGUAAUAGGUCACCUAUAAAGGAAAGUCCAUCAGAAUCAUAUCCAACUUAUCUACAGAAACACUCUAGUCAAGAAGUGUUUAGUGGAAAGUAUUUCAAAUCCUGAAAUAAAACAACUUCCAACUCAGUAGGUGUCCUAUUAAACUUAUUUUUUAAAAUUAGUGGAGGAAAAUGGACACUUCCACGACAAAGAACAACUAAAAAAUUCAUGGUGAUAUAAUCAACCAUAGAAAGAGUCCUGAAAGAUAUUCUAGACAGAGAUAAAAAUGACCACAAACUCAGAAAAAAAAAAAAGCACGAGUAGCUAUUCUAUUUGCAGACAAUGUUAAUUUUAAACUAAGAGUAAUCAAAAGAGAUAAAGACGGUCACUAUAUACUUUGUUAGGGAAACCCUUCAAGGUGAAGAGAUAAUAAUCAUAAAUAUAUAUGCAACAACUAUGGGAGCAUCUAACUAUAUUAAACUAACAUUAAUACACAUGAUAAAGAAAAGAGACAAUAAAACGGUUGUAAUAGGACCUUAAUAUCCCAUUGUCAUAAAAAGAUCAAUCCACCAAAAAAACUUCAGGAAAGAAAUAACAGUAUUGAAUUGAAUAGGUGAGCAAAUGGACUUAAUAGAUAUUUACAGAGUACUCUAAAACAUAUACUAACCCAAGUAACAUGUUCAAUGCAAGGAGUUGAAAUUUUCCCAAGCAUAUUGUCUGAGCAUAGUGCAAAGAAUGUGAAAAUUAAUGGCAAAACAAUCAUCAAAAAUUUCAUAAAUGCAUACAAAUGAAAUAAUGCACUCAUGAAAGAUCAAUUGAGUACAGAAGAAAUUAAAGAAAAAAAUCAAACAAUAUCUGCAAUUAGUUGACACUGCAAACAUUGUACCAUGUAUUGCACAAACAAAACACUGGAAGCAUUCUUGAGACUUAGCUUCCUGCAGGCCCCAGCCUGAACUGUCCCUUCUCCUGAACUGUCACCAUGAGACUCUGUUCUUCAAAGCUGAGCAUGCGUUUUCUUACCACCAAGAGUUUCAUUCCAAAUAUUGCAGAUAUAACAUGUUUACAAACAUUUCUGCUCAUAUCUUAAUAUUUGUUUCCUGGAGAUACCAUCAAAGCAGUUAUGUGAAGAGUGCUGAUAGUGGAAGAGAUGAGAAAAGAGGAGAGAGAUGGGUUGGUUAGGAUUUUCUGGAAGGGCUUCUGCUUGCAUAUAGAGUGAUCAGUGCAGCCUUAUGCCAUAAAUACUUAGGUCAUGGAAUAGGGGUAGACAAUGGGGUUAAGGGUCAGUGGUAGACAAUGGAAAAUGCUGAAGUCAAGCUGUCACAAGUGUCUGACCCACGAUUCAGUGAUGUGGCCUUGGGGAUGGAAUGUAGAUAGAUUCCUUAAAUCAAUCAUUUUACCAUAACCUGAGUUUAGCUUCCCACUUCUUUUGCAGAUGAGUGAGUCCUAUUUUCUACUGUCACCACCGUAUUGUUUUAAAGAUCUAGGGUAAAGCAUCUGGGCAUAUUUGAUAUUCUUCCAGGAGCUUCAUUUGUAGUAAGGGCUACGAUUUUGGAAAAGAACAACGGAUAAGUCAGGUCAUUCUGCUUCACUCUUCUUUUGGGGAUGAAGAGAAGUAAGGCAUCAUAAGAAAAAUGUCGGAGGCUCCGAGGUAGGGAACGCUGGUCAUGCUGCUUCUCACCUGUGUGUACUACAGUGACUUUGUACAGAUACUCAUGUAUGAAUUCUCUCUUUCUCAUGUACAUACCCAAGAGCAGCUUUACCUAUAUUUCCUUUAUCUUACCUUCAGCUAAAAUGCUGACUCUUUGUACCCUUAAAGAAAGCAAACAGUGAGAUCCCAGGAAACCAAGGGAACAGAGGACUCAUGCCUGAGGCCCCUGGAUCAAUAGUCCUCAUCAGGUAUUGGAGAACAGUUGCCUAGUUCAGACACACGAGCAGAUUAACAAGCUGUAGGUGAGAGGAGUGAUGUGAGAUUUCUACAUGAAAAUCGGAGAGGUCCAGUGGCCCAGUACUGCCUAUGGCCAUCCAGAGUAAUUCUGAGUCAGGCAUAGGCAGGAGAUACACAAUGUGGGAGGCAUCCUGGUGUCAGGCCCAGAAACGAUAGGAUGCCUCUGGUUGUUGGAGAUCAAAGAACAUGCUGUUCUCACUAUCAUUUUUGCUUAUUAUAACGUAAGCCUGAGAAAUAUGUUCCUCCUCUCAGUAUUUUCUUAACAUCCUGCUAUUAAUCUAAAACAUAUGUGCAUGCACUUAUACUCUUUUGACCUGGGGCAAAAAAGGAACAUGUGCCUUCUUCAGAGGGACCAAUUGUAAACCCAAGGUUAGUUUGGUAUCAUUAGCUUUGUAAUUUUGAUCACUCACAGGGUUUUGACAGCCUCAUUGGUUUUAUUCAACUCCAAAUAAAUUUUAAAAAGUGUUUCAAUUAAUUAUAUAGAAUUGCACAGAAUUUUCUAGUAGAUGGAAUCACAGGCCAUAAAACUUUGAAAGUUUCCUCAAAACCCAAAGCUAUGAGGAAAUGUGUUCUUGAGUUUUCUCAUCAUACUCCCACUUUGACAAGCACAGUUUUCUUUAAUAUAUUUCAGUGUUUCUCACUGUGGUUCUGCUCAGUUGUUCAUUUGGAAUGUAAAAAACCUGCAUGUUGACUGAGACUGAGAACAAGUAUUCAGUAACAAGUCCAGAAACCAGUCUCUCAACAGCUGUUCAAGGUCUCUUAUUCUGUACAUCCUCAGUUCUUUCUGAUGAGUGUGGACAUGGGAGAUCCCUCAUGGCUCCAUAGUUCCUGUAUUUGUUUUAAAAAGCACUCCCUCCCACACUUGCUUAGACUGCAGAAAAUGAAGCUUCCAUUUCACUUACUAGAGAAUUCUUCCUUGGUGUCUUGUGUGAAGAAUUUGUCCAGGGCUCUGAUCUCCUGAAGCCCCUCCUCCUGCACCAACAAGUGGACAAUCCGCUGGCCUAGGAAGCCUCCUGCUCCUGUUACCAGGCAGCUCCAGCCUGUCAUGGCUGAUGUAGAUAGCAGAACACAGUGAGCAGCAGGUGUGAUGAUAGAUGACUCUGGAGAGGGUUAAAGAAAAAAUCCAGUUAUUAUAGGACAUGGCUGCUUGUAAUGUCAGAGAGGGGGAAUUUACUGUUUGACCUCUGUACUCUCAGACAUUGUUAUGAUUCCCCAUUCCAUGCAGUCAAAGAUGGGGCUUUUGCAGAUGUGGCUUCCUAUGUCUGAUGCUGGAAUCAGUUCAGAGUAUACUAAAAUUAAUGGCACUAGGAUAGAGGGUAUGUAAGCUGCCCACUCUAACAGCUUAUAUAAUAUAUAAGACAAGGAACUGGUGUUGUCCUUUGCUUAAUCUAGCCUGCCUGUUUGCUGUGGACUAUUUCUCCUCUGUGAUAUCUCUCUGCCAUUCCACUUUGCGUUGGUGUCAUUCAACUACAAGUAAAAUGCUCCAGGAACUGUGAGCUAAAUAAAUCUUUCCUCAUUUA